GAAAUACCACCCUUUAAUGUUUGAUGUUCUAACGUGGACCCGUGAUCCGGGUUGCGGACAGUGUCUGGUGGGUAGUUUGACUGGGGCGGUCUCCUCCUAAAGAGUAACGGAGGAGCACGAAGGUUGGCUAAUCCUGGUCGGACAUCAGGAGGUUAGUGCAAUGGCAUAAGCCAGCUUGACUGCGAGCGUGACGGCGCGAGCAGGUGCGAAAGCAGGUCAUAGUGAUCCGGUGGUUCUGAAUGGAAGGGCCAUCGCUCAACGGAUAAAAGGUACUCCGGGGAUAACAGGCUGAUACCGCCCAAGAGUUCAUAUCGACGGCGGUGUUUGGCACCUCGAUGUCGGCUCAUCACAUCCUGGGGCUGAAGUAGGUCCCAAGGGUAUGGCUGUUCGCCAUUUAAAGUGGUACGCGAGCUGGGUUUAGAACGUCGUGAGACAGUUCGGUCCCUAUCUGCCGUGGGCGCUGGAGAACUGAGGGGGGCUGCUCCUAGUACGAGAGGACCGGAGUGGACGCAUCACUGGUGUUCGGGUUGUCAUGCCAAUGGCACUGCCCGGUAGCUAAAUGCGGAAGAGAUAAGUGCUGAAAGCAUCUAAGCACGAAACUUGCCCCGAGAUGAGUUCUCCCUGAGACUUAGAGUCUCCUGAAGGAACGUUGAAGACGACGACGUUGAUAGGCCGGGUGUGUAAGCGCAGCGAUGCGUUGAGCUAACCGGUACUAAUGAACCGUGAGGCUUAACCUU
This 737-nucleotide ribosomal RNA is filed under the name Salmonella enterica. RNAcentral describes it as "partial 23S ribosomal RNA". It matches the Rfam family "Bacterial large subunit ribosomal RNA", at positions 2194 to 2925 of the family's 2925-position model. RNAcentral also lists the same sequence under 2 other names. Lineage: Bacteria; Pseudomonadati; Pseudomonadota; Gammaproteobacteria; Enterobacterales; Enterobacteriaceae. The record is from RNAcentral.